AUAUCAUAAGUACAUAUGUAUAUAUAUAAAUGUUUCAUUCAUUUCUCUUAUUUUUUAUUGAAAACGAUUUGUAUUGCAACUGAUUGCAGGUCUGGAACUACGAGCAUACUUUUCCAGAGAGAGUCCUUGUUGGCUCAAGUUGAGACCGUAGCGCAAGCUCAUCAAAGAAGGAGGUGUGGCCUUUGUAAGCCUAUUUUACAUCUACAAGGCACUAAAGCUUCAACUUUUCUGGUCAUUGUACCAUUCCGAGGGACUUUGGGCAAGAUUCCUGCAGGCCAAGUACUCUGACAAUCUCUCUUUUGCUGCUGCUAGACAUAAACCAGGUUGUUCCAAGAAUUGGCAUGAAAUGCUUGAGAUACGAUCUUCAUUUUAUUACAAUACUCAUUUCUGGUUGGCAGCGGGUAACUACUUUCUUCACAUCUAAUUGGUCUGGGAUA
Molecule: long non-coding RNA, 437 nt
Filed under: Oryza brachyantha (malo sina)
Lineage: Eukaryota; Viridiplantae; Streptophyta; Magnoliopsida; Poales; Poaceae
Description: long non-coding RNA (OBRA_LNC003524)
Source: RNAcentral